AUGAAGGUCUUCGGAUUGUAAACCCCUGUCAUUUGUGACCAAGGUUGUCUAUUGAAUAGAUGGACGGCUUGAUGGUAGCGAAAGAGGAAGGGACGGCUAACUCUGUGCCAGCAGCCGCGGUAAUACAGAGGUCCCAAGCGUUGUUCGGAUUCACUGGGCGUAAAGGGUGCGUAGGUGGUUGAGUAAGUCUGGUGUGAAAUCUCCGAGCUUAACUCGGAAAUGGCAUCGGAAACUACUUGGCUUGAGGAUUGGAGGGGAGACUGGAAUUCUCGGUGUAGCAGUGAAAUGCGUAGAUAUCGAGAGGAACACCAGUGGCGAAGGCGAGUCUCUGGACAAUUCCUGACACUGAGGCACGAAAGCUAGGGGAGCAAACAGGAUUAGAUACCCUGGUAGUCCUAGCUGUAAACGGUGCACGUUUGCUGUAAUCGGAAUCGACCCCGAUUGUGGCGAAGCUAACGCGUUAAACGUGCCGCCUGGGGAGUACGGUCGCAAGAUUA
RNAcentral lists this ribosomal RNA (497 nucleotides) under uncultured Verrucomicrobiota bacterium. RNAcentral describes it as "bacterial SSU rRNA". It matches the Rfam family "Bacterial small subunit ribosomal RNA", at positions 408 to 896 of the family's 1533-position model. The record is from RNAcentral. Lineage: Bacteria; Pseudomonadati; Verrucomicrobiota.